AGUGGUGCCUUAACCGCUUGCAAAAUAAAAAUCACAUUUCUUUGGCAAGUGAUUCUACUGUUCCCAAUAAUAAAACUAAACAGUUAGUUUUUAAUAAUUAGUUUCUUGCGUAUUGUGGCGGAGAUAUCGAAGAAGUGGUAAAAAGAAACUGUACAAAACCGGUGGAACCGUCAAGAAGUUUAAGGGAGAAUCUAUGGGAACAUGGACUCAAUAUAGAAUUUCAAAUUCCAAAAGGACGAACAAGGAAAGAUGAGGAUGAAAGCAGAAGAUGAACGGAGAUGCACCUAUUUUUUCAGUUAAGUUCUCUACUUUCUCUCCCUCUUUCUUUUAAUCAUGUAUUUAUUGAGUAGUUUUAAUGAUAAUCAUUGAAGUGGACUAUGCACCCAAGUUGUUUGAUAAUAUACCUGACUCAUUCAUCAAAUAAUAUUUGAAGUACAUAACGUAAAACAUGUUUUAAAUAGAGUUCUUCUCGCGAAUGCAUAUCUUAAAACUAACCUUUAAGAACAAUCAUAGCUUUAAAAUUGUAUUUCGACUCACAGUGCAGUUCACUAUGAUUAUUGCAAGUAAUAAUUCAUUUCUUUGACACGUCUAGCUUUUCUCUUCCUUUUUGUAAUAUGACAAAAUCUAAUCAGCAAUUAGGCCAAGCUAAUCCAUAAUAUUUCAAAUUUGAUUCUUCUUUAAUAUACAGUAAAAAUUUAAAAAAAAAUAGAAAAAUGGACUUCGACGCUGCCACAACAUAUGCUUCUCUAUGAAGAAGUAAACUAAAGGUACCUGCCUUUUCCCUUUUUUGUUAGUAAUAUUUUGGUAGAUUACUAGCACUUUUUAAUUGAAGACCUUUGUAGGUUUAAUUUUAGUAUCUUAGAGCUCAAGAAUCCGGAACUACAUUUAGUAAAGUGGAUUUAUACAAACGUUCUUUUUACUAUUAGUUUUAUACUAAAUUGCAGCUAAGGUAAGGAACUUCGUGUCGCGGCUGCUCCAUUCCGCUGCGCUGCGGUCUCAUUAACUGAACUUCGUUGCCACUAAAUUGCUUACAAAAACUUAUUCUUAAAAUCUUUGUUUCUUUUUCAAGGAGCACAAAGUUAUUUGACCCUGCUGAUAUAGCAUUCUGUUGGAGCAGCAUGUGAACUUUUAUGGCAUUCUGAUCAUAUUAUAGUUCAGCUUUGGGGAGCUAUAUUUUUUUUUCUUUCUGAAUGUUCACUAGGUUUAUAAGUAUCAUCUUUUGAGUUACUUGUGGGAAUUACUGAGGCUAACGAUUGUAGCGAAUAUAAAAUAUCGACGCUACGAGUUUUGAAUAUGUUGGUCACCAAACUCAAACGUUAUCAACAAGAAAUCGAGAGAAUGAGGAAUGAUGCGUUUCACUUUGGGCUUCAUGGUGUUAAAAGCAAUAGUGUUGGAUCUCAUCCUCUUGAAGGUAAGGCAAGAGGGAUGAAGCCAAACCAUAGGUGUUUGCAACUAUUUUCCUUUUCGUUACCAAAAAAUAAUAUCUUUCUCUUCAUCUCCUCUUAUCUCUUCAUAUUGAAAUUAUACAGUACUUUAUUCAAUGUUUUUCCUGCGACUUAGAAUACAUCACUCUUUGUUGCAUUGUUGUGGCUAAUUUUUGAAAUUUUAUAUGCUUAAUACAGGACUAUUGCUUACAAAGAUCAAUUGAAAGAAUAUCACUAUGCCCUGAAAGUUGCGAUUAGCAAGAUGGAUAUGCAAUCAACAAAAUAUUUGUUGCUGAAUAGGUUUACAUACAUGUUCAUCUUAAACUAAAUUCAUGACUCAUAGUGAUAUACUAUCUGUUCUUCCUUCAUUAUAACCUCUUUUGGCAUCUGCUCUAAGCAUAUGUUAAUAAAUAUCAUCAUGUAUGGUUAAACUUACAGACGUCGGCAAUCUUUUAACUUAUUUGUAAUGCAACUUUAAAAAAUUGCUGAAAUUGCCUUUUUUAAUUAAUUGAUUAACUUCCUUUCAAUAUUUUGCAUUUCUCAAUAUGCCAAUCCAUUCACUGGUCUGAUCCAUUUACCUAGCUAAUGUGAUGCUUUCCUUCUGAAAGUCAGGAAUGGUGAUUUAGUUGUUCCAUACUUGAGAUUUAGCCGAAGAUGAGUUAUUUUUCCUCUUAUAUAAUAAUACAUAAUAUGAGAUAAUAUUUCACAUGUUGAAGCCGUUUCAGGUACGCUUGAUAAGAUAUUAUGCUGAAGGAUCUUUGUUUUAAGUAUACGAAUACGCUGAAAAUGUGAAAUUCUUCUAAGAUUCGUUGGUCGAUUUUGCUGCAUAUUUUACUCCUAAAAUGCAGAGAGACCUGCGAAGGCAGGUCCUGGUUAGUUGGUCCGAAAAGUCAGAAUUAUCGGUAGAAGAUGAUGUAGCUUGGAUUGAAGGGUAACGUUAUCUACCUUAGUUGCUUAGUUAAUAUUAACAUAGGGAGUCAUUUCUACUAGAAGUUGAACAUUAUCCACCACUAUUCGAUAAUGGUGCAUAUAAAAGAAAGGUUAUGGUUUCUUAGAUUUGGAUUCGUUUUGUUAAUUGAACAGAAAGUGGUGGUUAGUCUCUGUUGGAGACCAAGGACAAUCCAAAAUCAUUUUUUUGAAGCAGGGGAUUAGAGGUUUUAACUAGACCUCUUAUCCCUUUCAUUUUCAAAUACAAUUCUUAUUUCAUGAAGCUAUUUUAUUUGUAUUAUUAUUAUUAUUAUUAUUCCUUUUAUGUUUUGCUUUAAGACUCCUUUUAAUUAUACUUACGGAAAAUUUGGAAGGCUUCGACACUAUAAUUUUUUGCUGUGGUGCAGAAAGAGUUCAAAAAUAUAAAGUUAGAACUAGAGUAGGUUUCAUAUUCGGUCAGUUUCUUUUUAUAUGAUAUACUUCAGUUUAGUUGGAUGUUAAGUUUUAAUGAUAUUAACUGAAAUUAAAAGAAUCCUAUUACUAUUUUGACUUUGUGGAAAUCGGUAAAUAUGGCUUCUAUUUGUUUAUGAAAUUUCGUAUGUAUAGUACCAAACAUAUAUAAAAUUAAAAGCUUUUUCACAUAAUGUGAGAUCAUUAAUUUUUAUUAAUGUCAAUAUCAGGGAUAUGAUAAGAACUUUUUUGUUUUCAUAUAAAACAAGUAAUUAAGAUCGUGAUAUUGAUAUCAAGUGUCAAUUAAAAUUAUCAGGAUAAAUUUCUAUUGAAGUAUAUAUGAUUUUAAAUAUGUCGAUGCGAUAUGACAACUUUUUUUUUUUUAUAUCAAACAAAUAAGUUUCUACUUUCUUACUAAAAUUUUUCAUUGAUAUCGACCGCGCACGAAUACUAGUAUCUAUAUUAUAUUAAAAGGAGAGUAGUUUGCAAUGUGGUUAAGCCAAAUGGCUUAUUGAGAAUGACACUUGGCACUUUUAAGACAAAAUCAAAAUAGAUUUUAGGACAAAAUCUAAUAUAGAUUGACAAGAUUAGGAUAAAAAUAAUAUGAAAUAUGGUAUAUUUAGGAACAUUAUGCUUAUUAGAAGAAUACCAAAUAUGUAAAUUGUUCAAGAAAUUUUUAUGUAGUAAAUAUUUUUAUUUAAGGAAGAUUCUUUCUUUAAUUUUGGUCAAAGUGAAAAACGAAAGGAUUGAAUUUGGACUGAUUUUCCUUCAUGAUACAUUUCCAACUAAAAUUUAGGUGAUAUUAUUUUUUUAAUUUAGGUACGUAUUAACAAAAUAUUUAGUUUGACAAAU
Nicotiana tabacum (common tobacco) is the source of this 3653-nucleotide non-coding RNA. The record is from RefSeq and is a predicted model, not a curated record. NCBI's taxonomy places the organism in Eukaryota, Viridiplantae, Streptophyta, Magnoliopsida, Solanales, Solanaceae.